GCUUGCGUAGCACAAUCGGUAGAGCGUGAGACUCUUAAUCUCAAUGCUGCGGAUAAGUUUAUUAUCAUCGACGCAAUAGAUAUUUGACGACAUCUCAAUUGACAUCCUAGCUUAGGUUCGACCCCCGCCGAUGAGCU
Non-coding RNA from Hypoxylon sp. CI-4A, 137 nucleotides. Lineage: Eukaryota; Fungi; Ascomycota; Sordariomycetes; Xylariales; Hypoxylaceae. The record is from the annotation of a GenBank genome assembly.